UGGAGUAGUAAUUAUGGAUCUGAUAAAUUAUUUCAUUUCAUUUUCUCCCGUUGCAGCAUCAUUCAGAACUUUCAUUGCAUCCACAUGCCACGCUUGCCAUUUUUUCGUUAUCAUGCAACAUAAUAAAGAAUGACACUACUAAUAUGACGUCCUUUAAAGGGAAAUUAAUCUGCUGUCAUAACUAAGAGCAGCUGAACUAUCUCUAUUAAAACGGAAUGCAUUGGCAUUAUAAAACCGUUCAUAAAGCAAGUUAAACAUUUGCGCAAACUUUUUGAUGAUGCCGACGUAGCAAUGCCUAAAAUUGGUGCUGUGGAGGAAUUCCAAGGAGAGGAAGGCGAUGUAAUAAUAAUUUCAACAGUGAGAUCAGAUAAGGAGCAUGUACUUAACGAUGUGCGCCUUUCAUUAGGUUUCAUUCAAAACGGGAAAUUGUCUAACCUCGCACUAUCUCGAUCUCGUUUCCUUCUUAUUAUAUACGGCAACCCCUACCUACUCCUUUUAGAUCCUCAUUAGCGCACGAUCAUAAAAUACUGCGUCGAUGCUGAUGCCUACCUCGGUUGUGAUUUGCCGGCAAAUUACUUUUAAUUAUUUUAAUUAUUAAA
This is a long non-coding RNA of Glossina fuscipes, 599 nucleotides long. RefSeq lists it as uncharacterized. The record is from RefSeq and is a predicted model, not a curated record. NCBI's taxonomy places the organism in Eukaryota, Metazoa, Arthropoda, Insecta, Diptera, Glossinidae. The transcript has 3 exons.